This 1346-nucleotide ribosomal RNA is filed under the name uncultured bacterium. Its description in RNAcentral is "bacterial SSU rRNA". It matches the Rfam family "Bacterial small subunit ribosomal RNA", at positions 28 to 1381 of the family's 1533-position model. The record is from RNAcentral.
GACGAACGCUGUUGGCGUGCUUAACACAUGCAAGUCGAACGGAAAGGCCCUGCUUUUGUGGGGUGCUCGAGUGGCGAACGGGUGAGUAACACGUGAGUAACCUGCCCUUGACUUUGGGAUAACUUCAGGAAACUGGGGCUAAUACCGGAUAGGAGCUCCUGCUGCAUGGUGGGGGUUGGAAAGUUUCGGCGGUUGGGGAUGGACUCGCGGCUUAUCAGCUUGUUGGUGGGGUAGUGGCUUACCAAGGCUUUGACGGGUAGCCGGCCUGAGAGGGUGACCGGCCACAUUGGGACUGAGAUACGGCCCAGACUCCUACGGGAGGCAGCAGUGGGGAAUAUUGCACAAUGGGCGGAAGCCUGAUGCAGCAACGCCGCGUGCGGGAUGACGGCCUUCGGGUUGUAAACCGCUUUCGCCUGUGACGAAGCGUGAGUGACGGUAAUGGGUAAAGAAGCACCGGCUAACUACGUGCCAGCAGCCGCGGUGAUACGUAGGGUGCGAGCGUUGUCCGGAUUUAUUGGGCGUAAAGGGCUCGUAGGUGGUUGAUCGCGUCGGAAGUGUAAUCUUGGGGCUUAACCCUGAGCGUGCUUUCGAUACGGGUUGACUUGAGGAAGGUAGGGGAGAAUGGAAUUCCUGGUGGAGCGGUGGAAUGCGCAGAUAUCAGGAGGAACACCAGUGGCGAAGGCGGUUCUCUGGGCCUUUCCUGACGCUGAGGAGCGAAAGCGUGGGGAGCGAACAGGCUUAGAUACCCUGGUAGUCCGCGCUGUAAACGGUGGGUACUAGGUGUGGGGUCCAUUCCACGGGUUCCGUGCCGUAGCUAACGCUUUAAGUACCCCGCCUGGGGAGUACGGCCGCAAGGCUAAAACUCAAAGGAAUUGACGGGGCCCCGCACAAGCGGCGGAGCAUGCGGAUUAAUUCGAUGCAACGCGUAGAACCUUACCUGGGUUUGACAUGGAUCGGGAGCGCUCAGAGAUGGGUGUGCCUCUUUUGGGGUCGGUUCACAGGUGGUGCAUGGCUGUCGUCAGCUCGUGUCGUGAGAUGUUGGGUUAAGUCCCGCAACGAGCGCAACCCUUGUUCACUGUUGCCAGCACGUUAUGGUGGGGACUCAGUGGAGACCGCCGGGGUCAACUCGGAGGAAGGUGGGGAUGACGUCAAGUCAUCAUGCCCCUUAUGUCCAGGGCUUCACGCAUGCUACAAUGGCUGGUACAGAGAGUGGCGAGCCUGUGAGGGUGAGCGAAUCUCGGAAAGCCGGUCUCAGUUCGGAUUGGGGUCUGCAACUCGACCUCAUGAAGUCGGAGUCGCUAGUAAUCGCAGAUCAGCAACGCUGCGGUGAAUACGUUCCCGGGGCU